UGAGGAACAUGACUUUCGGCGGGGGAUAGCCGGCCCAACGGCCGGGUAAUACCGCGUACGACCUUUCGGGGACAUCCCUGAAUGGUGAAAGCAGCAAUGCGCCGAUGGAGUGCCUCGCGGCCUAUCAGCUAGUCGGUGAGGUAACGGCUCACCAAGGCGACGACGGGUAGCUGGUCUGAGAGGAUGGCCAGCCACAGUUGGGACUGAGACACGGCCCAGACCUCCGUACGGGAGCAG
Molecule: ribosomal RNA, 237 nt
Filed under: uncultured bacterium
Lineage: Bacteria
Description: partial 16S ribosomal RNA
Rfam family: Bacterial small subunit ribosomal RNA
Source: RNAcentral